This 338-nucleotide ribosomal RNA is filed under the name uncultured bacterium. RNAcentral describes it as "bacterial SSU rRNA". It matches the Rfam family "Bacterial small subunit ribosomal RNA", at positions 32 to 361 of the family's 1533-position model. The record is from RNAcentral.
AAUCAACGCUGGCGGCGUGCCUCAGACAUGCAAGUCGAACGAUUAAAGCUCUCUUCGGAGAGUGUAUAGAGUGGCGCACGGGUGAGUAACACGUAAGUAAUCUACCCUCGAGUGGGGAAGUAACGUCCGGAAACGGACGCUAAUACCGCAUAAUGCAGCGGCACCGCAAGGUGACAGUUGUUAAAGAUUUAUCGCUUGAGGAGGAGCUUGCGGCAGAUUAGCUAGUUGGUAAGGUAAUGGCUUACCAAGGCUACGAUCUGUAACCGGUCUAAGAGGACGGUCGGUCACACUGACACUGAAUAACGGGUCAGACUCCUACGGGAGGCAGCAGUCGGGAA